GAUGAAGAACGUAGCGAAAUGCGAUAAGUAAUGUGAAUUGCAGAAUUCAGUGAAUCAUCGAAUCUUUGAACGCACAUUGCGCCCCCUGGCAUUCCGGGGGGCAUGCCUGUUCGAGCGUCAUUUCAACCCUCAAGCACAGCUUGGUGUUGGGACUCGCGUUAAUUCGCGUUCCCCAAAUUGAUUGGCGGUCACGUCGAGCUUCCAUAGCGUAGUAGUAAAACCCUCGUUACUGGUAAUCGUCGCGGCCACGCCGUUAAACCCCAACUUCUGAAUGUUGACCUCGGAUCAGGUAGGAAUACCCGCUGAACUUAAGCAUAUCAAUAAGCGGAGGA
RNAcentral lists this unclassified non-coding RNA (332 nucleotides) under soil metagenome. RNAcentral describes it as "partial contains 5.8S ribosomal RNA, internal transcribed spacer 2, and large subunit ribosomal RNA". The stretch from base 1 to 120 matches the Rfam family "5.8S ribosomal RNA", at positions 35 to 154 of the family's 154-position model. The record is from RNAcentral.